GAUGAACGCUGGCGGCGUGCCUAAUACAUGCAAGUCGAGCGAACAGAUGAGGAGCUUGCUCCUCUGACGUUAGCGGCGGACGGGUGAGUAACACGUGGAUAACCUACCUAUAAGACUGGGAUAACUUCGGGAAACCGGAGCUAAUACCGGAUAAUAUAUUGAACCGCAUGGUUCAAUAGUGAAAGACGGUUUUGCUGUCACUUAUAGAUGGAUCCGCGCCGCAUUAGCUAGUUGGUAAGGUAACGGCUUACCAAGGCAACGAUGCGUAGCCGACCUGAGAGGGUGAUCGGCCACACUGGAACUGAGACACGGUCCAGACUCCUACGGGAGGCAGCAGUAGGGAAUCUUCCGCAAUGGGCGAAAGCUUGACGGAGCAACGCCGCGUGAGUGAUGAAGGUCUUCGGAUCGUAAAACUCUGUUAUUAGGGAAGAACAAAUGUGUAAGUAACUAUGUACGUCUUGACGGUACCUAAUCAGAAAGCCACGGCUAACUACGUG
Molecule: ribosomal RNA, 497 nt
Filed under: uncultured bacterium
Lineage: Bacteria
Description: partial 16S ribosomal RNA
Rfam family: Bacterial small subunit ribosomal RNA
Source: RNAcentral